CCUACACAUGCAAGUCGAACGAAGUAGCAAUACUUAGUGGCAGACGGGUGAGUAACAUGUGGGUAUCUACCCUAUGGCCUGGAAUAACACGAGGAAACUUGUGCUAAUACCGGAUAAGUCUUUACAGAGAAAGCUUUAUGCACCAUUGGAUGAGCCUGCACUUGAUUAGUUUGUUGGUAGGGUAAUGGCCUACCAAGACUGUGAUCAAUAGCUGAUUUGAGAGGAUGAUCAGCCACAUUGGGACUGAGACACGGCCCAAACUCCUACGGGAGGCAGCAGUGGGGAAUCUUGCACAAUGGAGGAAACUCUGAUGCAGCGAUGCCGCGUGAGUGAAGAAGGCCCUUGGGUUGUAAAGCUCUUUCGUCGGGGAAGAAAAUGACUGUACCCGAAUAAGAAGGUCCGGCUAACUUCGUGCCAGCAGCCGCGGUAAUACGAAGGGACCUAGCGUAGUUCGGAAUUACUGGGCUUAAAGAGUUCGUAGGUGGUUGAAAAAGUUAGUGGUGAAAUCCCAGAGCUUAACUCUGGAACUGCCAUUAAAACUUUUCAGCUAGAGUAUGAUAGAGGAAAGCAGAAUUUCUAGUGUAGAGGUGAAAUUCGUAGAUAUUAGAAAGAAUACCAAUUGCGAAGGCAGCUUUCUGGAUCAUUACUGACACUGAGGAACGAAAGCAUGGGUAGCGAAGAGGAUUAGAUACCCUCGUAGUCCAUGCCGUAAACGAUGUCAACUAGGUGUAUGGGAAAUUUAUUUCUUGUGUAUCGAAGCUAACGCGAUAAGUUGACCGCCUGGGGAGUACGGUCGCAAGACUAAAACUCAAAUGAAUUGACGGGGGCCCGCACAAGCGGUGGAGCAUGUGGUUUAAUUCGAUGC
This 865-nucleotide ribosomal RNA is filed under the name uncultured Alphaproteobacteria bacterium. RNAcentral's name for it is "bacterial SSU rRNA". It matches the Rfam family "Bacterial small subunit ribosomal RNA", at positions 48 to 957 of the family's 1533-position model. The record is from RNAcentral. Lineage: Bacteria; Pseudomonadati; Pseudomonadota; Alphaproteobacteria.